UACGUAGGGUGCAAGCGUUGUCCGGAAUUAUUGGGCGUAAAGAGCUCGUAGGCGGUUUGUUGCGUCGGCUGUGAAAUCCCGAGGCUCAACCUCGGGUCUGCAGUCGAUACGAGCAAACUAGAGUGUUGCAGGGGAGACUGGAAUUCCUGGUGUAGCGGUGAAAUGCGCAGAUAUCAGGAGGAACACCGGUGGCGAAGGCGGGUCUCUGGGCAACAACUGACGCUGAGGUGCGAAAGCGUGGGGAGCGAACAGG
This 253-nucleotide ribosomal RNA is filed under the name uncultured bacterium. Its description in RNAcentral is "partial 16S ribosomal RNA". It matches the Rfam family "Bacterial small subunit ribosomal RNA", at positions 524 to 776 of the family's 1533-position model. The record is from RNAcentral.